RNAcentral lists this ribosomal RNA (497 nucleotides) under uncultured bacterium. RNAcentral's name for it is "partial 16S ribosomal RNA". It matches the Rfam family "Bacterial small subunit ribosomal RNA", at positions 28 to 507 of the family's 1533-position model. The record is from RNAcentral.
GACGAACGCUGGCGGCGUGCCUAAUACAUGCAAGUUGAGCGCUGAGGGCUGGUACUCGUUCCAACUGGAUGCUCAGCGAACGGGUGAGUAACGCGGGGGGAAUCUGCCUUUGCGCGCGGGACAAAAUUUGGAAACGAAUGCUAAUACCGCAUAAAAACUUUAAACACAAGUUUUAAGUUUGAAAGAUGCAAUUGCAUCACUCAAAGAUGAUCCCGCGUUGUAUUAGCUAGUUGGUGAGGAAAAGGCUCACCAAGGCGAAGAUACAUAGCCGACCUGGGAGGGUGAACGGCCCCAAUGGGACUGAGACACCGCCCCAACUCCUAAGGGAGGCAGCAGGAGGGAAUCUUCGGCAAUUGACGGAAGUCUGGACGAGCAACGCCGGGGGAGUGAAGGAGGGUUUCGGAGCGUAAAACUCUGUUGGUAGAGAAGGACGUUGGUGAGAGUGGAAAGCUCAUCCAGUGACGGUAGCUACGCAGAAAGGGACGGCUAACUACGUG